This 559-nucleotide long non-coding RNA is filed under the name Oryza sativa (Asian cultivated rice). RNAcentral describes it as "long non-coding RNA (OSAT_LNC001849)". The record is from RNAcentral. Lineage: Eukaryota; Viridiplantae; Streptophyta; Magnoliopsida; Poales; Poaceae.
GACUCCUUUAAAUACCACUACUACCUUAACCUCCAAGCAAACCUCCUAAUACAUAUCUGCAAACAACUCAACUUAUCGCUAAAAACCUAGCUAAUUAACCUAGCCGUAAGCCAACAACCUACUUGUCGAACUAGGACUCUGCUAUGUUGUGUUGGACGUAGAACUUGCACUUGGAUUUAGACUUUUGACGUUCAUACUGGAUCCCCCAUGUGACACCUGAUUACAUCUGCUGAACGAUGUUGAUGAUGUGUCCAAAUUCAUGCCUCGCAAGCCUAAUUUGUCGCUCGAGUCCUCAAUAAGACAACUACAAGCAGUUAGCAAUCCUCUAUAUGCAGAAUUGUCUAUAGCUUCUUUAAUUAAAACAAAUGUGAGGAUGCAUUAAUUAAAGACAUGAAUUAGUGAAGAACUCACCACCUUAUGGACCCUCUUUUGUCUUCACAUAGCUGCUUGGAGAGUUGUAGAGCUACACGGUGCUAUAUCCUAGUGUUUAAUGGGAGUAAUCCUAGUGUGGCCUUUGGUGCAUGACUGGAGCCUCCAAACUCAGUGAGUUUCUUAGUAG